GGCUACUUUAGUGAACAUUCAACGCUGUCGGUGAGUUUGGUAUCUAAAGGCAAACCAUCGAUCGUUGACUGUACAUUACGGCAAUGCCAG
Molecule: microRNA precursor, 90 nt
Organism: Xenopus tropicalis (tropical clawed frog)
Lineage: Eukaryota; Metazoa; Chordata; Amphibia; Anura; Pipidae
Gene: xtr-mir-181a-1
Product: xtr-mir-181a-1
Source: Ensembl